RNAcentral lists this ribosomal RNA (553 nucleotides) under uncultured bacterium. RNAcentral describes it as "bacterial SSU rRNA". It matches the Rfam family "Bacterial small subunit ribosomal RNA", at positions 63 to 597 of the family's 1533-position model. The record is from RNAcentral.
UGAGCGAACCAAUAAGAAGCUUGCUUUUUGUUGGUUAGCGGCGGACGGGUGAGUAACACGUGGGUAACCUGCCUGUAAGACCGGGAUAACUCCGGGAAACCGGUGCUAAUACCGGAUAGAUUAUCUUUCCACCUGGAGAGAUAAGGAAAGAUGGCUUUUGCCAUCACUUACAGAUGGGCCCGCGGCGCAUUAGCUAGUUGGUGAGGUAACGGCUCACCAAGGCGACGAUGCGUAGCCGACCUGAGAGGGUGAUCGGCCACACUGGGACUGAGACACGGCCCAGACUCCUACGGGAGGCAGCAGUAGGGAAUCUUCCGCAAUGGACGAAAGUCUGACGGAGCAACGCCGCGUGAGCGAAGAAGGUCUUCGGAUCGUAAAGCUCUGUUGUUAGGGAAGAACAAGUAUCGGAGGAAAUGCCGGUACCUUGACGGUACCUGACGAGAAAGCCACGGCUAACUACGUGCCAGCAGCCGCGGUAAUACGUAGGUGGCAAGCGUUGUCCGGAUUUAUUGGGCGUAAAGCGCGCGCAGGCGGUCCUUUAAGUCUGAUGUGA